UGGAGGUAGGCUUUUCAUAGCAUGAGUGGGUUAAUCCUAAGUGCGUUAAUCAUUUUGACAUAUCAAAUCAAAUGGUGUGGUCUUAACAUGCAUAAUCAAUUAAGUUCUAGAAUAAUAGUUCAAUACUGACGCACUCAAAGCAAUAAUAAAAGUGAGCAUGAAAGAAUUAAUAGAUGCUCAAAAGGCUCAAAAAUCUCACAAAC
This 203-nucleotide long non-coding RNA is filed under the name Gossypium barbadense (sea-island cotton). RNAcentral's name for it is "long non-coding RNA (GBAR_LNC004416)". The record is from RNAcentral. Lineage: Eukaryota; Viridiplantae; Streptophyta; Magnoliopsida; Malvales; Malvaceae.